CGAUUCCAUGAAAGAUACCUCCGUAUUUAAUAGUAUAUCUGUAUUACUUAAAUAAUACAAUAUUAUUUUGUGAAUAAAAAGUCAAUACUUUUAUGAUACCAGGAUUGCGGGAGCACAAAGUGCGUAGCAAUCCGCAGGUAUCA
RNAcentral lists this small RNA (143 nucleotides) under Muricomes intestini. Its description in RNAcentral is "Clostridiales-1 RNA". Lineage: Bacteria; Bacillati; Bacillota; Clostridia; Lachnospirales; Lachnospiraceae. The record is from RNAcentral.